ACCUACCGCUGCCAAUCUAUCUAUCACUGCUAAUCUAUCGCUGCUAAUCUAUCGCUGCUAAUCUAUCGCUGCUAAUCUAUUGCUGCUAAUCUAUCGCCGCCAAUCUACCUACUGCUGCCAACCUACCUACCGCUGCCAACCUAUCUAUCGCUGCCAACCUAUAUAGGGUAAAUCAUGGUCCCAUUUGGUCCCAUUUUGUAAAAUGGGAUCAAAUGGGACCAGAAUCACUAAUUUAUUAGUAAAACAUGAUCUGGGACUAGAUUUAUAAUAUAAACAGUGUAAAGUGACUAAUUUGCUAAACACUAUAUGAGACCAGGACUAAGAUAUCUAAUAAUGGAACUGAGGAAAAAUUUGGUCCCAGUCCCAUGCAUGGUCACACAGCCAGUCUAGUGUAAAGUGACUAAUUUACAAAACACUAUAUAAGA
This 425-nucleotide small RNA is filed under the name Histoplasma capsulatum. RNAcentral describes it as "hypothetical RNA". The record is from RNAcentral. Lineage: Eukaryota; Fungi; Ascomycota; Eurotiomycetes; Onygenales; Ajellomycetaceae. RNAcentral also lists the same sequence under 1 other name.